Molecule: ribosomal RNA, 429 nt
Filed under: Actinomycetes bacterium
Lineage: Bacteria; Bacillati; Actinomycetota; Actinomycetes
Description: Actinobacteria bacterium partial 16S ribosomal RNA
Rfam family: Bacterial small subunit ribosomal RNA
Source: RNAcentral
UAGGGAAUCUUCCGCAAUGGGCGAAAGCCUGACGGAGCAACGCCGCGUGAGUGAUGAAGGUCUUCGGAUCGUAAAACUCUGUUAUUAGGGAAGAACAAAUGUGUAAGUAACUAUGCACGUCUUGACGGUACCUAAUCAGAAAGCCACGGCUAACUACGUGCCAGCAGCCGCGGUAAUACGUAGGUGGCAAGCGUUAUCCGGAAUUAUUGGGCGUAAAGCGCGCGUAGGCGGUUUUUUAAGUCUGAUGUGAAAGCCCACGGCUCAACCGUGGAGGGUCAUUGGAAACUGGAAAACUUGAGUGCAGAAGAGGAAAGUGGAAUUCCAUGUGUAGCGGUGAAAUGCGCAGAGAUAUGGAGGAACACCAGUGGCGAAGGCGCCUUUCUGGUCUGUAACUGACGCUGAUGUGCGAAAGCGUGGGGAUCAAACAGG